GACGAACCGUGCGAACGUUGUUCGGAAUCACUGGGCUUAAAGGGCGCGUAGGCGGGUGGUCAAGUCGGUGGUGAAAUCCUUCCGCUCAACGGGAGAAUGGCCGCCGAUACUGACUGCCUCGAGGGAGGUAGGGGCAUGUGGAACUUCCGGUGGAGCGGUGAAAUGCGUAGAUAUCGGAAGGAACGCCGGUGGCGAAAGCGACGUGCUGGACCUCUUCUGACGCUGAGGCGCGAAAGCCAGGGGAGCAAACGGG
This 253-nucleotide ribosomal RNA is filed under the name uncultured bacterium. RNAcentral describes it as "partial 16S ribosomal RNA". It matches the Rfam family "Bacterial small subunit ribosomal RNA", at positions 524 to 776 of the family's 1533-position model. The record is from RNAcentral.